Molecule: ribosomal RNA, 497 nt
Filed under: uncultured bacterium
Lineage: Bacteria
Description: partial 16S ribosomal RNA
Rfam family: Bacterial small subunit ribosomal RNA
Source: RNAcentral
GAUGAACGCUGGCGGCGUGCCUAAUACAUGCAAGUCGAGCGAACGGACGAGAAGCUUGCUUCUCUGAUGUUAGCGGCGGACGGGUGAGUAACACGUGGAUAACCUACCUAUAAGACUGGGAUAACUUCGGGAAACCGGAGCUAAUACCGGAUGAUAUUUUUAACCGCAUGGUUCAAAAGUGAAAGACGGUCUUGCUGUCACUUAUAGAUGGAUCCGCGCUGCAUUAGCUAGUUGGUAAGGUAACGGCUUACCAAGGCAACGAUGCAUAGCCGACCUGAGAGGGUGAUCGCCCACAUUGGAACUGGGACACGGUCCAGACUCCUACGGGAGGCAGCGGUAGGGAAUCUUCCGCAAUGGGCGAAAGCCUGCCGGAGCAACGCCGCGUGAGUGAUGAGGGUCUUCGGAUCUUAAAACUCUGUUAUUGGGGAAGAACAUAUUUGUAAGUAACUGUGCACAUCUUGACGGUACCUAAUCAGAAAGCCACGGCUAACUACGUG